AUUGAACGCUGGCGGAAUGCUUUACACAUGCAAGUCGAGCGGCAGCGCGGCCUUCGGGCUGGCGGCGAGCGGCGAACGGGUGAGUAAUGCAUCGGAACAUGCCCAGUCGCGGGGGAUAACACUUCGAAAGAAGUGCUAAUACCGCAUACGUCCUGAGGGGGAAAGCGGGGGAUCGCAAGACCUCGCGCGAUUGGAGUGGCCGAUGUUAGAUUAGCUAGUUGGUGGGGUAAAGGCCUACCAAGGCGACGAUCUGUAGCUGGUCUGAGAGGAUGAUCAGCCACACUGGGACUGAGACACGGCCCAGACUCCUACGGGAGGCAGCAGUGGGGAAUUUUGGACAAUGGGGGCAACCCUGAUCCAGCCAUUCCGCGUGAGUGAAGAAGGCCUUCGGGUUGUAAAGCUCUUUCGGCAGGAACGAAACGGUGGGCUCUAACAUAGUCCGCUAAUGACGGUACCUGAAGAAGAAGCACCGGCUAACUACGUG
Molecule: ribosomal RNA, 484 nt
Filed under: uncultured bacterium
Lineage: Bacteria
Description: partial 16S ribosomal RNA
Rfam family: Bacterial small subunit ribosomal RNA
Source: RNAcentral